Molecule: long non-coding RNA, 2753 nt
Filed under: Salvia miltiorrhiza (redroot sage)
Lineage: Eukaryota; Viridiplantae; Streptophyta; Magnoliopsida; Lamiales; Lamiaceae
Description: long non-coding RNA (SMIL_LNC002673)
Source: RNAcentral
GAGCAGAGUAGCGAGAGUGCAGAGCUGGAUAGCAGAGCUCGGAGGUCAGAACUGGAUUGCAGAGCUCGGAUGCCAGAGCUGGGAGGCCAGAGCUGAAAAGCAGAGCUGACCGACAGAGCUGAAAAGCAGAGCUGACCGGAAGAGCUGAAGUGCAGAGCUAACUGGCAGAGCUGAAGUGCAGAGCUAACCGACAGAGCUGAAUUGUAGAGCUAACCGGUAGAGCUAAAGUGCAGAGCUAAACCGGCAGGGCUGAAGUGCAGAGCUAACCGGCAGAGCAGAAGUGCAGAGCUAACCGGCAGAGCUGAUUAGCAGAGCUGACUAGCAGAGCUGAAGAGCAGAGCUGACUAGCAGAGUUGACCAGCAGAGCUGACUAGCAGAGCUAGAUUGCAGAGCAGAGCUAGAAUGCAGAGCAAAGCUAGAAUGCAGAGUAGAGCUAGAUCGCAGAGCAGAGCUAGGUAGCAGAGCAGAACGGAGUAGAGCACUUGUGCAUUUUAAGUAUGAAAUGAGUCAUGCAUUGCAUCAUGAUUUAAUUGGUUAUUUAAAACUCCAAUUACAAAAGAAAGACGAGUAAGAAUAUUGUUGGUGUUCUUAACUCAAGAGAAGUGUUUUCAAUUAUUUAUUCAUUAAAUUUUGAAAACCUGGCUAAGUGAAUCAUAUAAUGUUAAGCACUUUACCGUGACUUGAGUUUAGAUUAAGAGACCUAUUAAGAAUAGAUUUCUUGUAGGCUUUGAACGUCAGGAGGAUUAGCACUGCUAUUCCGAUUCAGAGAUAAGGUUAAACGACAGGCUUUGCUUAACCCGCGUGCAAACCCGAAUUCGGUCUAAUUAAGGCAAAACAGUUUUUACACAUAAUAAAUGGUCAGAUUUUGUGUUUUUCAAUUAGUGGCCAAAUAUUGUAUUUCCUUCUUUAAAAUGGUUAUUUCAAAAGCGCUCUCUUUAUUAAAUAUGAGUGUUAAAUUAAAGAUUAUAAAAAGAUUUUUAAUUCAAUGUACAAAAUUUAUGAAAAAUUCAUUUGAAACGAAUAUGUUAUGAUAGUUUAAAGUGUUAAAAUCAACUUAUCCACUGAACCAAAACACAUUCUUGUACAUACAACAUAAUUUUAUUUUACCAAAAUUUUAUUAUUUUUUUAAUUUUUUAUAAAUCAUUGUAAAUACAAUAAGAGAUAUUUGCUGCAAAAUACAUGAAUUUUCACCAUAUUCUGAUUUUCCCUAUGACCUUUAAAAUUUGAAAAAAAAAAAAAAAACAUAACCUUUCGAUUUUUUCUUAUUUUUCCCUUGGGUAUGAAAUACCCCCAAAUAAAAGUUGAUUUUAUGGCUUUUGACUUAAAUUUUUUGAUACCUAAACGUGAUGGAUAAUAAAGGUGGCAUAAUAAAACCGAUGCAUCAGCUUAGGCACCAACAAAUUUAAGUUCAAAGCCCUAAAAUCAGCUUCUGCUUGGAGGUAUUUCUUACUCAUUGGAAAAAUCAGAGGUGAUGUAUUUUUAUUUUUAUUUUCAAAUUUUAAAGAUCAUGAAAAAAAUUAGAAUUUGCCGAAAGUUCAUGUAUUUUACGACAAAUAUCCCUUAAAAUAAUUAUAUAAUAAUUUUAAUUUUUAAAAUAUCUAUAAAAAAAUAUUAAUUAAAUAUUUAUCAGAAAUUCGGGUAACUCGAAUAACCGAUACCCAAAAUUUCUGAAAACUGAUAACCGAACUCGAACCGACACCCGAAAUUUUCGGUUAUUGGAUAACCGAACCCGAGCGAUUCAGUUCGAUUAUUGGAUUAUCCAAAAUACAAUAUUCAUUUAGAUAGCCCUAGGUAUAAAUUAGUAGCUCGGAAAUACACAUUCCCAACAAAUCUAUAAAUUAUUAAUAUAGAAAAAAAUGAUUUUGGAUUGAAUAAAAUUUACUAAAUCGAAAGAUUUCCAAAUCUAACACCCUAUAAGAACAUCAUUAUCAUGUGAAUUUAAUUUUUGAUACAAUUGAAAACAUCGUAAACACGUGAAUUCUUCACAUUAAUUUAAUCUACGGAGACGGAAAAAAUUACCCUUCUGUGAUUUCUCUUCUUAUCUUUUUGCUCGUCUUGAUCUACUUUUUGAUUCAAUCCUCCCUUCUCAUCAAAUUAGCUCGUCUUGAUCUUCCGAUGAAUCCUUUGAUUUGAAGGGUAAUUGUAAUAUAUUUGAAGUCAAAAGAGAUAUGAAAAGAAUCUUAAAGUUGAAAACUUGAAAAGACCAAAAAUCUUGAUAAAAUUAAUCUCAUUUUUACAUAAUGCGGUUUCCUAGUCGAUUAAUCGAAAAACUAGGAAGAAAAAAAAAAAAAAAAAAAGAAAUUUCAAAUGCUCAAUCACAAACAUAACAGAUCAAGAAGCAGCUAAGUAGGUAAGAUACUUCAAAACAAACACGAAUAGUAGAAUUGAGCUCAAGUCUAUUUUCUUGGCAAAAAAGUUUAGAAAGAAAUCGGCCUCGCUGCUUGUAGAAAAGCUUGAGUAAUACAACUAAGUCUGAUUCCAUUUUAACAACAAUAAUUAAGCAAAUACUAUAAAAUAAAAUACCUGGAAUGCUAGCGACGGACCAAUGACGGAGGAGCAGUGGUUGGGGGAUGGAGGCGCGGCAGAAUCCGGUGGUGUUAACUGUGAUUAGAUUUAGGGCUCUGAACAGUGAAUAUUGUUUGAGUAGAAAGUUUAUGAAUAAUUAUAUUGAAAGUCCAGUUGAAGAAGCCAAAUAAUUAAUGUGCAUAAUUAAUUAACAACGGCUAAUAAAAUAAUAAGAUAAUGACGAGCUU